Molecule: ribosomal RNA, 485 nt
Filed under: uncultured bacterium
Lineage: Bacteria
Description: partial 16S ribosomal RNA
Rfam family: Bacterial small subunit ribosomal RNA
Source: RNAcentral
AUUGAACGCUGGCGGCAUGCCUUACACAUGCAAGUCGAACGGCAGCACGGGUGCUUGCACCUGGUGGCGAGUGGCGAACGGGUGAGUAAUACAUCGGAACAUGUCCUGUAGUGGGGGAUAGCCCGGCGAAAGCCGGAUUAAUACCGCAUACGAUCUACGGAUGAAAGCGGGGGACCUUCGGGCCUCGCGCUAUAGGGUUGGCCGAUGGCUGAUUAGCUAGUUGGUGGGGUAAAGGCCUACCAAGGCGACGAUCAGUAGCUGGUCUGAGAGGACGACCAGCCACACUGGGACUGAGACACGGCCCAGACUCCUACGGGAGGCAGCAGUGGGGAAUUUUGGACAAUGGGCGAAAGCCUGAUCCAGCAAUGCCGCGGGUGUGAAGAAGGCCUUCGGGUUGUAAAGCACUUUUGUCCGGAAAGAAAUCCUUGGCUCUAAUACAGUCGGGGGAUGACGGUACCGGAAGAAUAAGCACCGGCUAACUACGU